RNAcentral lists this long non-coding RNA (599 nucleotides) under Gallus gallus (chicken). Its description in RNAcentral is "long non-coding RNA NONGGAT008935". Lineage: Eukaryota; Metazoa; Chordata; Aves; Galliformes; Phasianidae. The record is from RNAcentral.
AGGAGAGAAAGCUUACAGAUUUUUGUGAGGAUACCCUACAAUGCUUCGAAGAAAAAAUGGUGAUAAACUAAAUUAUAAUACUCAUUGGGGCUGGGCUUCCAGGUCAGAAUUAUGAAUGAAGUAUCAGUGAUGCAAAGAACUGUGAGGCUGCAAAGUUACCAGCUGCUGUUCAGGUCCCUCAAAGAUGUCCAUGUUCCACGGAGGAUGCCACAGCAAGCCUUGCAAUUAUAGGAGUGCAUCCAACACGUGCGGUGGAAAAAGAGGCUCUUCUCAGUGCUCUUUCUGGAUGAGUAGGAGUGAUGCUGAUUCCCACAACAGGAUGAAAAUGGUAACGACGCAGUGCUUAAAAAAAAGGAGAAUGAGAACUUGCAGAAAUGAGGCUGGCACAGGGAGGCCACCCAGCCCACCUGCCCCAUUUCCUGUGGGAGUCUCUGCUGGAAAACAGUGCUUCCCCGGAGGACAGCAAUGCAGCAAACACCAUCAGCACCUCUUUCAGUUUUGUCAAGUUAGUGGGUUAAUGAGUUGGUAGGAAUCACUACAAACAUGCAGAGGAACAAAAGAGGUAACACCUUUUUUCUCCGUUUCAGGAGGCAUAAAAC